Molecule: ribosomal RNA, 1441 nt
Filed under: Streptomyces aureoverticillatus
Lineage: Bacteria; Bacillati; Actinomycetota; Actinomycetes; Kitasatosporales; Streptomycetaceae
Description: bacterial SSU rRNA
Rfam family: Bacterial small subunit ribosomal RNA
Source: RNAcentral
CCCCGCAGUAACGCCUGCUUACCAUGCAAGUCGAACGAUGAAGCCCUUCGGGGUGGAUUAGUGGCGAACGGGUGAGUAACACGUGGGCAAUCUGCCCUGCACUCUGGGACAAGCCCUGGAAACGGGGUCUAAUACCGGAUAUGACACGGGAUCGCAUGAUCUUCGUGUGGAAAGCUCCGGCGGUGCAGGAUGAGCCCGCGGCCUAUCAGCUUGUUGGUGAGGUAGUGGCUCACCAAGGCGACGACGGGUAGCCGGCCUGAGAGGGCGACCGGCCACACUGGGACUGAGACACGGCCCAGACUCCUACGGGAGGCAGCAGUGGGGAAUAUUGCACAAUGGGCGAAAGCCUGAUGCAGCGACGCCGCGUGAGGGAUGACGGCCUUCGGGUUGUAAACCUCUUUCAGCAGGGAAGAAGCGAAAGUGACGGUACCUGCAGAAGAAGCGCCGGCUAACUACGUGCCAGCAGCCGCGGUAAUACGUAGGGCGCAAGCGUUGUCCGGAAUUAUUGGGCGUAAAGAGCUCGUAGGCGGCUUGUCACGUCGGUUGUGAAAGCCCGGGGCUUAACCCCGGGUCUGCAGUCGAUACGGGCAGGCUAGAGUUCGGUAGGGGAGAUCGGAAUUCCUGGUGUAGCGGUGAAAUGCCCAGAUAUCAGGAGGAAGCACCGGUGGCGGAAAGCGGAUCUCUGGGCCGAUACUCACACUGAGGAGAGAAAACGUGGGGAGAGAACACAAGUAGAUACCCCUGGUAGACCACGCCGUAAACGGUGGGCACUAGGUGUGGGCAACACUUCCACGUUGUUCCGUGCCGCACAUAUCGCACUAUGUGUGCCGCCUGGGGAGUGCGCGCGCAAGAGUAUAACUCAAAGGAAUUGUCGGGGGGCCGCACAAACGCCGGAGCAUAUGUGUUAAUUUGACGCACCGCGAAGAGCCUUUUCAAGACUUGACAUACACCGGAAAGCAUCAGAGAUGGUGUCCCCCUUGUGUUCGGGGUACAGGUGGUGCAUGUCUGUCUUCACAUCGUGUCGUGAGAUAUUGGGUUAAAUCUCGCACCGAGCGCACCCCUUUUGUCGUGUUUCCACCAAAACCUUCGGGGUGUUGGGGACUCUCGGGAGACCGCCGGGGUCACCUCGGAGGAAGAUGGGGGCGACGUCAAAUCAUCAUACCCCUUAUAUCUUGGGCUGCACACGUGUUACAAAGUCCGGUACAAAAAGAUGCGAUAUCGCGAGGGGGAGAGAAUCUCAAAAAAACGGUCUCACUUCGGAUUGGGGUCUGCAACUCGACCCCACGAAGUCGGAGUCGCUAGUAUUCGCAGAUCACCACUGCUGCGGGGAAUACGUUUUCGGGCCUUGUGCACACCGCCCGUCACGUCUCGAAAGUCGGUAUCACCCGAAGCCGGUGUGCCACCCCCCUUGUGGGAGGAGCUUCGAAGUGUAAGGCGUAAG